UUUGGCAGAUUUAUACUGCCUUUGGACACUCUUAUAAGCUAAGAGAACUAUGUGGGCUUGAGAUGAGGCUUACGCAAUGAAGGGACUAAAGUGCAUUUUUUAAAAUAGAAAGACUAGCAGUAAAGCGAAACAAACUAAUUUCAACACAAUUCCCAUCACAUAUUACAUAGGUGAACAGGACUUCUGGUGUGUGGAUCACAGGCUCUGACAAGCUAUUCGAAUGAAAAUUGCUCGUUGAGAAUGAUGCCCUGAACUUGCAUUUCUGUUCAAGAGCAGGGCAAUGUAAGUUUGUGCAGGUGAUAGUAUAGGCUAUUUUGGAAUGCUGUGCUGCGUUCCUGCUUUUUUCCCUUCCUCCCAACAAGACAGCAAUACAUCAUGUUAUCAAUCACAUUGUGGUACCUCUGAUCAAUCAUGAGGUGUAUCUGCUUUCUUGCUAAAUCAGGGACAUCCUGUAUGGUAAUAUCCAUACAGGGAUCAAUCUAGGGUAGGUGGCAGAUACAGAGCUUUAACACAUGCUGAGGCAACCAUCAGGUUUCAUCACAAGCUUUAAAAAGCACAGACACAUGAAUUAUGCUCUCUUUUCUCCAAGUUCCAUGGGAAUGAACUCACAACAGAUUAUUUCAGAAUGAUCCAUAUGCUUUGUUCAGUUCUUCCUUGCAAGUUGCAAUGAAAUAAAUGAGAGGUGUACUGCUAAAUCCUCUAAUAUCCCCCUUACCUGCUGGGUUACAGUUUCAUAUAUCUGUAGUAUAUAGACUACAUUUUUUGUUAUGGCUAUAUGAAGGCAAGCUAUCCUACUGUAUCAGCUUUUGAACAUUUUUGCAAGCACCUGCUUGCUAAUAAUAAAGCCUUAACCAGGUAUAUAUGUCUUUCCGAAGCAAGGGAGGCCUUUUCAAAGCCGCUGUAUAGAUCUCUCUUUCUAAUAAAAUAAGUGGAUACAUUAAGGUAGCAUAAAUAAUGUUGAAAGCUUCCGUGUACUAAAUUAUUUCUUUUCCUUUUGCAAUAGUUUUGCAGCAUUAUUGAUUGCAAUGUUGACGCAAGCUUUGGAGGCAGUGGAGUGUGUGUAUGUUCAAAGUAACAUCAGGUUCACCUGGGGCAAGUGAAUUGCUUUGUGUGAGUAAUUUGUUCUCAGUUUCUCUGGAAGACAGCCAUAGUUGCAUAUGAGGAAAUUCUCUCUUUCCUCAGUUAUCUGAAUGUUUCACUACAGUGCCUUCCUGCUAUUGUACUAAAAGUCCUCCCAAGGCAUUGUCUGUAGGCUGACAACUGUAAUGCAUUUUCCAUCAAUGUUAUACUGUGCUAAAGUAUAAGCAAAAUAUUGCGACUCCAAAGAUCAUCUCACUGUGUUUGGGUUGUGUUGGUUUUUUUUAAACUCACUUUCCUAUCACAUCUUUGCCUGCAAAUUACAGGAUGAGCUCCUGUAAACUUUUGCACCAAAUUAGACAAUACAGAGAAAAUGAAGCCAUCCAUCUUAACAUCUAAACAGUCGGCGGGUAUUUACAGAGACGGCAGAUGUUAGGAAGGGCCUUUUGUCAUUGUUGAAUGCAUUUUGGAAGUAAAGAUUGCCAGAGGAGAAAUUGCAGAGGAAGAUAAUUUGUCAUUAAAUGCUCACAAUUUGGUUACAAAUUAUCUCCCUCUUUUUUUUAUUUGUGUGUCGGGGCGGAGGCUUCUCUUCUAUUUUUAAUGUGUGAGAUUGAACAAAAUUUGAGAUCACCUGAAUUUUAGUGGCUUUGAGGUUAAGGUGUCUGCUGGAUGUGAUGACAGUGGUAGAAAGAAUGUUGAAUAGUUAUGGUUUGCACUCAGUUAAUACUGUCUGUGGGUACAAUGCAGCCAAAUUGAAGCACUUUUUCUCUCUCUUCUUUUUGCUAGAUAGUAGAUUCACGUAAGAUGUACGUCAUAUAGACAACACAAACCCACUGAUUUCAGAGAGAGAGAGAGAGUUAAGUGCAUGCUUAACCCAUCAGUCAAAAUCAUUGGGGCUUCAUGCUUACACCUGCCUUGACUGUGUGUCUCAUGUAAAGAUGUGUCUUUUCCAUCUUCUUGUUAAAAUACAGCACGUUCUAAAAUGUAGAAUAUUUUCAAAGAUAGCACUAGGUUACUAUAUUAAAAACAUGCUGCUUUUUGAUGUUAUAUCUCAAAGUUCUUGAAAUUAGAUAGCACAAUUAUUAUUAUUUUUUGAAAAUAUAUAUAUUUUGUACUAUACGAUCCUUUUAAAGAAGAAGAAAAAUGUCUACUAUGCUUCUUAACUGCCACAAAUAAUGCAACUCCUCCAUGCUGGUAUUUAUAAAUCUCCAGUUUGCAUUCCUUCAGCUGCAGCUUUAAAUAAGUGCUCUUACUCAAAAGCAAGCACGGUUGGUAUUGUUGAAUGCAGUUGGUGUGAUGGGAGGGGUAGUCCGAAAAAUUUGGAGGGGACCAGGUUGGGGGAGGCUGCCUCAGUGACUCUUUGGUGUGAUGUGUAAGUCCGUGUAUGUUUAUGAUCCUGCCAUUUUGUAUGGCUAUUGACAUUUUAAAUACAACCUUGGGAACAAUUUGUCCAUUGAACGUUUCGGUUGAAAGUUUCCUCACAUAAGUACUGCUGAAUAAGAGAUGCAAAGAACAGUUAUCUGUUUCGUUGACAACUAAAUAAUGUCAUAGCCAGUUUAUAAGGUUUAUUUAUCCAUUUCUACUUGCUUGUGCAUAAUGAAUGUAACAAUUAAAUAACAGCAUCUCUCGCGUUUCCAGGGCAUUGCACAAAGUCAAAUGAAUGUGCUGUAGUAAUUGUACAAUCUCAUAUAGGCCAAAGUGGAUCGGGUAUAUUGUUGAUAUGGCAAAUAUGUCUGGCAAGGCUCUUUUGUGUGGUCUGCAAGAGACUGAGAGUCUUGAUAAUCUUAGCUUUUAUUUGUAAACGUUAGUUUCUAGUCCUCACGCUUACAGAGAUGAAUGUCUAUAAAUCUAAAAGCUUAAAUGAUCAGAAAACAGGAAGAGAGCAACAGGAUGCACAGAUUCAUUUGUUUUUAAAGUCUAUAUUUUCCACGAGUUUCAGAGUAUUAACUCAGGUUCUUAACAUGUGAGGAUAAAGACUAUCGGAAGAAAUACAUUGUAAAAUAAUAAGCACAGUGGGGUGCAACCCACACUUAAGUUCUCCUGUUUUCAAUUGAAUUUAGGUAUUUCAAUCUCUGGGUUGUGCACAUUAUAUGCAACAACAGUACUUGGCACCUUUAACGUUCCAGAAAAACGAUAUGCAAAUUGUUUUCUGCAAUUAACUAAUGAUAUACUAAUUAGCAGCGGCCUUCCAGUUCUUUUCCUGAAGUAGUUGGCCAUCCCUCAUACAAUGUUGCUAUCAAAUGCUGGGAAGGAGUUUGGGUCCAAGCUACAUCAGACUGAAGUCUAUGGAUAUGGAAUUUAACUGAUUUUUUUUUAUUUGCACUAAUUUGUGUGUGUUCAUCUUAGCUUGUCCCAAAACUGAUCCAGCAAAGCUGGAAAACUUCAGUUAAUUGCCGACCAUCUCCUGCCAUUUGGAAAAUCAGGUGUAACUUCAUUGAGCACCAAGAUAUAAAGUGCAUCAGUCUUCCUUUCGUUCACUAGUAAAAUACAACACAGUUAAUCUUACUUGUAUGUAUAAGGGAUGUUCUCGGAAGAAGAAAUGUUGAGACCGUCCUGUAAUGGGGCACCAGCCUGUUGACCAUUAUUGAUUAUGGAACCAUCAGGUUGAGAGGCAACAUACCAGUGAAUGCCAGCUGCAGGGAGCAACAAUGGGAGAGAGCUUUUGCCUUUGUGUCCUGGUCCUUGGCUUCCCAGGAACAUCUGGUUGGCCACUGUGGGAAACAGGAUGCUAGACUAGAUAGCCCUUUGGUGGGAUCCGGCAGGGCUUUUCCGAAGCGACACCAAAGAUUUUGAUUUCCCACAUCUGUAAACCAAAUGAAAGAACUGUGCCGAUCAGAUUGCACAUUUGGUUAAAAGACGUCUCUCUUCCAUUUUUUUGCUGGUUGUCAACAACAUUUGCACGCAAGAAACUGAAAAACUAAAAUACAUGUUUAAGCAAAAAAAAACACCUGGUGAAAACACUCUUAAGGUGCAAUUCAGCAUGGGCAAGAAAGACCCUUUCGUUCUCAUGGAAAUCAAGCAUAACAUGCAUUUUGGGGUGUUUCCAGGUGCUCUAAAUAAAAUAUCCAGCCUAUAUUUGCAGCUAGCAUUGUACAUUAUUUACUGCAAAACAAAAAGACGCCUAAAGGGAAAGCAGCUUUUAAAUUGCUCAGAUAUAUAUAUAUUUUAAACUAAAAUUGCUUGUUCAAAAUGUUUUAACUUUUUUAAAACAACAACAACAACUGAGGUUGUAUCUUGAUAUAUCCCCCAUGUAAUGUUUUAAUCUCCAAUUUAAUUGUGAUUUUGCUUUUUGUAAAAUAUUUUUAUACAGCUUGUAUUAUUAUAGUAUAGCAAUAAAUCAAAGGGCA
Molecule: long non-coding RNA, 4424 nt
Filed under: Podarcis lilfordi (Lilford's wall lizard)
Lineage: Eukaryota; Metazoa; Chordata; Lepidosauria; Squamata; Lacertidae
Source: RNAcentral